This 1169-nucleotide ribosomal RNA is filed under the name Bacillus subtilis. Its description in RNAcentral is "bacterial SSU rRNA". It matches the Rfam family "Bacterial small subunit ribosomal RNA", at positions 40 to 1197 of the family's 1533-position model. The record is from RNAcentral. Lineage: Bacteria; Bacillati; Bacillota; Bacilli; Caryophanales; Bacillaceae.
CGGUGCGGCAUCUAUACAUGCAGUCGAGCGGACAGAUGGGAGCUUGCUCCCUGAUGUUAGCGGCGGACGGGUGAGUAACACGUGGGUAACCUGCCUGUAAGACUGGGAUAACUCCGGGAAACCGGGGCUAAUACCGGAUGGUUGUUUGAACCGCAUGGUUCAAACAUAAAAGGUGGCUUCGGCUACCACUUACAGAUGGACCCGCGGCGCAUUAGCUAGUUGGUGAGGUAACGGCUCACCAAGGCGACGAUGCGUAGCCGACCUGAGAGGGUGAUCGGCCACACUGGGACUGAGACACGGCCCAGACUCCUACGGGAGGCAGCAGUAGGGAAUCUUCCGCAAUGGACGAAAGUCUGACGGAGCAACGCCGCGUGAGUGAUGAAGGUUUUCGGAUCGUAAAGCUCUGUUGUUAGGGAAGAACAAGUACCGUUCGAAUAGGGCGGUACCUUGACGGUACCUAACCAGAAAGCCACGGCUAACUACGUGCCAGCAGCCGCGGUAAUACGUAGGUGGCAAGCGUUGUCCGGAAUUAUUGGGCGUAAAGGGCUCGCAGGCGGUUUCUUAAGUCUGAUGUGAAAGCCCCCGGCUCAACCGGGGAGGGUCAUUGGAAACUGGGGAACUUGAGUGCAGAAGAGGAGAGUGGAAUUCCACGUGUAGCGGUGAAAUGCGUAGAGAUGUGGAGGAACACCAGUGGCGAAGGCGACUCUCUGGUCUGUAACUGACGCUGAGGAGCGAAAGCGUGGGGAGCGAACAGGAUUAGAUACCCUGGUAGUCCACGCCGUAAACGAUGAGUGCUAAGUGUUAGGGGGUUUCCGCCCCUUAGUGCUGCAGCUAACGCAUUAAGCACUCCGCCUGGGGAGUACGGUCGCAAGACUGAAACUCAAAGGAAUUGACGGGGGCCCGCACAAGCGGUGGAGCAUGUGGUUUAAUUCGAAGCAACGCGAAGAACCUUACCAGGUCUUGACAUCCUCUGACAAUCCUAGAGAUAGGACGUCCCCUUCGGGGGCAGAGUGACAGUGUGCAUGGUUGUCGUCAGCCUCGUGUCGUGAGAUGUUGGGUUAAGUCCCGCAACGAGCGCACCUUUGAUCUUAGCUGGCAAGCCAUUUCAGGUUGGCCACUUCUAGCUUGAACCUGCAGCUGACAAUCGAGGAGCUGGGCAAGUAACCGCU